This 377-nucleotide ribosomal RNA is filed under the name uncultured organism. RNAcentral describes it as "partial 16S ribosomal RNA". It matches the Rfam family "Bacterial small subunit ribosomal RNA", at positions 527 to 896 of the family's 1533-position model. The record is from RNAcentral.
GUAGGUGGCAAGCGUUGUCCGGGAAUUAUUGGGGCGUAAAGCGCGCGCAGGCGGUUCUUUAAGUCUGAUGUGAAAGCCCACGGGCUCAACCGUGGAGGGUCAUUGGAAAACUGGAGAACUUGAGUACAGAAGAGGAAAGUGGAAUUCCACGUGUAGCGGUGAAAUGCGUAGAGAUGUGGAGGAACACCAGUGGCGAAGGCGGCUUUCUGGUCUGUAACUGACGCUGAGGCGCGAAAGCGUGGGGAGCAAACAGGAUUAGAUACCCUGGUAGUCCACGCCGUAAACGAUGAGUGCUAAGUGUUAGGGGGGUUUCCGCCCCUUAGUGCUGCAGCUAACGCAUUAAGCACUCCGCCUGGGGAGUACGGCCGCAAAGGCUG